GUGAGGAAUAUUGGACAAUGGGCGCAAGCCUGAUCCAGCCAUGCCGCGUGCAGGAAGACGCAUCUAUGGUGUGUAAACUGCUUUUGUACGGGAAGAAACACUCCCUCGUGAGGGAGCUUGACGGUACCGUAAGAAUAAGGAUCGGCUAACUCCGUGCCAGCAGCCGCGGUAAUACGGAGGAUCCAAGCGUUAUCCGGAAUCAUUGGGUUUAACGGGUCCGUAGGCGGUUUAAUAAGUCAGUGGUGAAAGCCCAUCGCUCAACGAUGGAACGGCCAUUGAUACUGUUAUACUUGAAUUACAAGGAAGUAACUAGAAUAUGUAGUGUAGCGGUGAAAUGCUUAGAUAUUACAUGGAAUACCAAUUGCGAAGGCAGGUUACUACUUGUGGAUUGACGCUGAUGGACGAAAGCGUGGGGAGCGAACAGGAUUAGAUACCCUUGUAGUCC
This 445-nucleotide ribosomal RNA is filed under the name uncultured bacterium. RNAcentral's name for it is "partial 16S ribosomal RNA". It matches the Rfam family "Bacterial small subunit ribosomal RNA", at positions 354 to 796 of the family's 1533-position model. The record is from RNAcentral.